RNAcentral lists this ribosomal RNA (1321 nucleotides) under uncultured Alphaproteobacteria bacterium. Its description in RNAcentral is "bacterial SSU rRNA". It matches the Rfam family "Bacterial small subunit ribosomal RNA", at positions 27 to 1395 of the family's 1533-position model. Lineage: Bacteria; Pseudomonadati; Pseudomonadota; Alphaproteobacteria. The record is from RNAcentral.
GAACGUACGCUGGCGGCACGCCUAACACAUGCAAGUCGAACGAAGUAGCAAUACUUAGUGGCAGACGGGUGAGUAACAUGUAGGUAUCUGCCCUUUGGCCUGGAAUAACACGAGGAAACUUGUGCUAAUACCGGAUAAGUCUUUACGGAGAAAGCUUUAUGCACCAUUGGAUGAGCCUGCACUUGAUUAGUUUGUUGGUGGGGUAAUGGCCUACCAAGACUGUGAUCAAUAGCUGAUUUGAGAGGAUGAUCAGCCACAUUGGGACUGAGACACGGCCCAAACUCCUACGGGAGGCAGCAGUGGGGAAUCUUGCACAAUGGAGGAAACUCUGAUGCAGCGAUGCCGCGUGAGUGAAGAAGGCCCUUGGGUUGUAAAGCUCUUUCGUCGGGGAAGAAAAUGACUGUACCCGAAUAAGAAGGUCCGGCUAACUUCGUGCCAGCAGCCGCGGUAAUACGAAGGGACCUAGCGUAGUUCGGAAUUACUGGGCUUAAAGAGUUCGUAGGUGGUUGAAAAAGUUAGUGGUGAAAUCCCAGAGCUUAACUCUGGAACUGCCAUUAAAACUUUUCAGCUAGAGUAUGAUAGAGGAAAGCAGAAUUUCUAGUGUAGAGGUGAAAUUCGUAGAUAUUAGAAAGAAUACCAAUUGCGAAGGCAGCUUUCUGGAUCAUUACUGACACUGAGGAACGAAAGCAUGGGUAGCGAAGAGGAUUAGAUACCCUCGUAGUCCAUGCCGUAAACGAUGUGUGUUAGACGUUGGAAAUUUAUUUUCAGUGUCGCAGCGAAAGCGAUAAACACACCGCCUGGGGAGUACGACCGCAAGGUUAAAACUCAAAUGAAUUGACGGGGACCCGCACAAGUAGUGGAGCAUGUGGUUUAAUUCGAAGAUACGCGCAGAACCUUACCAACACUUGACAUGUUCGUCGCGACUCUAAGAGAUUAGAGUUUUCGGUUCGGCCGGACGAAACACAGGUGCUGCAUGGCUGUCGUCAGCUCGUGUCGUGAGAUGUUGGGUUAAGUCCCGCAACGAGCGCAACCCUCACUUUUAGUUGCCAUCAUUAAGUUGGGCACUCUGAAAGAACUGCCAGUGAUAAGCUGGAGGAAGGUGGGGAUGACGUCAAGUCCUCAUGGCCCUUACGUGUUGGGCUACACACGUGCUACAAUGGUAUCUACAACAGGAAGCAAGACUGCGAAGUUAAGCAAAUCCCUAAAAGAUACCUCAGUUCGGAUUGCACUCUGCAACUCGAGUGCAUGAAGCUGGAAUUACUAGUAAUCGUGGAUCAGCGUGCCACGGUGAAUGCGUUCCCGGGUCUUGUACUCACCGCCC